GAUGAACGCUGGCUACAGGCUUAACACAUGCAAGUCGAGGGGAAACGGCAUUGGGUGCUUGCACCGAAUGGACGUCGACCGGCGCACGGGUGAGUAACGCGUAUCCAACCUUCCCGUUACUGCGGGAUAACCUGCCGAAAGGCAGACUAAUACCGCAUGUUCUUCGAUGACGGCAUCAGAUUCGAAGCAAAGACUCGUCGGUAACGGAGGGGGAUGCGUCUGAUUAGCUUGUUGGCGGGGCGACGGCCCACCAAGGCGACGAUCAGUAGGGGUUCUGAGAGGAAGGUCCCCCACAUUGGAACUGAGACACGGUCCAAACUCCUACGGGAGGCAGCAGUGAGGAAUAUUGGUCAAUGGGCGGAAGCCUGAACCAGCCAAGUAGCGUGCAGGAUGACGGCCCUACGGGUUGUAAACUGCUUUUAUGCGGGGAUAAAGUGAGGGACGCGUCCCUUUUUGCAGGUACCGCA
RNAcentral lists this ribosomal RNA (467 nucleotides) under Prevotella sp. oral taxon G57. Its description in RNAcentral is "bacterial SSU rRNA". It matches the Rfam family "Bacterial small subunit ribosomal RNA", at positions 28 to 482 of the family's 1533-position model. Lineage: Bacteria; Pseudomonadati; Bacteroidota; Bacteroidia; Bacteroidales; Prevotellaceae. The record is from RNAcentral.